UACGGGGGGAGCAAGCGUUGUUCGGAUUUACUGGGCGUAAAGGGCGCGUAGGCGGCGUGACAAGUCACUUGUGAAAUCUCCGGGCUUAACCCGGAGCGGCCAAGUGAUACUGUCGUGCUAGAGUGCGGAAGGGGCUACUGGAAUUCUCGGUGUAGCGGUGAAAUGCGUAGAUAUCGUAAGGAAGACCAGUGGCGAAGGCGGGUCUCUGGACAGAUCCUGACGCUGAGGCACGAAGGUCAGGGGAGCAAACGGG
Molecule: ribosomal RNA, 253 nt
Filed under: uncultured bacterium
Lineage: Bacteria
Description: partial 16S ribosomal RNA
Rfam family: Bacterial small subunit ribosomal RNA
Source: RNAcentral